Molecule: long non-coding RNA, 690 nt
Organism: Austrofundulus limnaeus
Lineage: Eukaryota; Metazoa; Chordata; Actinopteri; Cyprinodontiformes; Rivulidae
Exons: 9
Source: RefSeq, a predicted model, not a curated record
GCUUCACCAAUCUUCCCAUCAGCCCUUUUGGUUUUCUCCCGCYGACCAGAGAGGAGUUUAGAGCGCUUAAGAGUUACUUUAACCAGGGGUUACCUGUUUAUCUCAGCACAAAUGCUCCAAACACUCCUCUGUGAGGUCUUCUUGUCUCAAGGAGCCUCGGGAUGGGAGAGCUCAAGAAAACAGCAUGUCAUGACAGAGCUGCCCUGUAGUGGGAUGUAUAAGGUUCCAGYUGGACUGAAAGGCUGACAUCAUUUACAGGUGGUCUGGCUGAGCCUCAUCUGAAAUGUGGCUCCUCUCCAGUGCAGCCUCAGUUUUCAGACUGGCCUUGUCUUCUGGAGCUGAUCCUUGUCCAGUAGUGCAUGUGAUUGACUGAAAGGCGGUCUGGCUGAGCCUCAUCUGAAAUGUGACUCCCCUCCAGUGUGGCUGACUGAAAGGACUGGAUGCGGAUCGGCUGCAGUUGUUGCCCUGGUACAUGUGUGCUCAACCUGGUGAACCAGUGAAAGGUCAUGUGAAGAGUCGGUCCUCCUGCCAGACCUCAAGUCAUUUCCACGUUCUGCUUUCUGCACCAACAGAUUAAUAAUCCUGCUGGCCUGAACAGUUGCCACGGACACUGUUAGAUGAUUUAUAAGGACUUUCCUGCUUCUCAUCACUGCUGAUUGUAACAAAACUAAAUAAAGACGUCAAACUGUU